CCACUACGGUGGUGAAGUUGCAGGCAGUGGUCCCAGGAAAAGCCUCUAAGCUUCAGUUUGAGUAUGACCGUACCGCAAACCGACACAGGUGGGUGGGAUGAAUAUUCUAAGGCGCUUGAGAGAACUCAGGAGAAGGAACUCGGCAAAUUGAUACCGUAACUUCGGGAGAAGGUAUGCCCUGUUAGCGUGUUAAAGCGCGAGAGGGCCGCAGAUAAUCGGUGGCUGCGACUGUUUAUUAAAAACAUAGCACUCUGCAAACACGAAAGUGGACGUAUAGGGUGUGACGCCUGCCCGGUGCCGGAAGGUUAAGUGAUGGGGUGCAAGCUCUUGAUCGAAGCCCCGGUAAACGGCGGCCGUAACUAUAACGGUCCUAAGGUAGCGAAAUUCCUUGUCGGGUAAGUUCCGACCUGCACGAAUGGCGUAACGAUGGCCACACUGUCUCCUCCUGAGACUCAGCGAAGUUGACAUGGUUGUGAUGAUGCAAUCUCCCCGCGGUUAGACGGAAAGACCCCAUGAACCUUUACUGUAGCUUCACAUUGGAUUGUGAACCGGCUUGUGUAGGAUAGGUGGGAGGCACAGAAGAGAUGACGCUAGUUGUCUUGGAGCCGCCCUUGAAAUACCACCCUAGUCGUUUUGCGGUUCUAACCUAGGCUCCUGAAUCGGGGCUGGGGACAGUGUGUGGUGGGCAGUUUGACUGGGGCGGUCUCCUCCUAAAGUGUAACGGAGGAGUUCGAAGGUACGCUAGGCACGGUCGGAAAUCGUGCUCAUUGUGCAAUGGCAAAAGCGUGCUUGACUGUGAGACAGACAAGUCGAACAGGUGCGAAAGCAGGACAUAGUGAUCCGGUGGUUCUGAAUGGAAGGGCCAUCGCUCAACGGAUAAAAGGUACUCUGGGGAUAACAGGCUGAUACCGCCCAAGAGUUCAUAUCGACGGCGGUGUUUGGCACCUCGAUGUCGGCUCAUCUCAUCCUGGGGCUGUAGCCGGUCCCAAGGGUAUGGCUGUUCGCCAUUUAAAGAGGUACGUGAGCUGGGUUUAAAACGUCGUGAGACAGUUUGGUCCCUAUCUGCCGUGGGCGUUGGAUACUUGACGGAGGCUGCUCCUAGUACGAGAGGACCGGAGUGGACGUACCGCUGGUGUAUGGGUUGUCAUGCCAAUGGCAUUGCCCAGUAGCUAUGUACGGAAGAGAUAACCGCUGAAGGCAUCUAAGCGGGAAACUCGUCUGAAGAUAAGGUAUCCCGGGGGUACAACCCCCCUAAAGGGUCGUUCAAGACCAGGACGUUGAUAGGUCGGGUGUAUAAGCACAGCAAUGUGUGGAGCUAACCGAUACUAAUUGCCCGUGAGGCUUGAUC
This 1348-nucleotide ribosomal RNA is filed under the name Brackiella oedipodis DSM 13743. RNAcentral's name for it is "bacterial LSU rRNA". It matches the Rfam family "Bacterial large subunit ribosomal RNA", at positions 1574 to 2925 of the family's 2925-position model. Lineage: Bacteria; Pseudomonadati; Pseudomonadota; Betaproteobacteria; Burkholderiales; Alcaligenaceae. The record is from RNAcentral.